Molecule: ribosomal RNA, 549 nt
Filed under: uncultured Glomus
Lineage: Eukaryota; Fungi; Glomeromycota; Glomeromycetes; Glomerales; Glomeraceae
Description: SSU rRNA
Rfam family: Eukaryotic small subunit ribosomal RNA
Source: RNAcentral
UUGGAGGGCAAGUCUGGUGCCAGCAGCCGCGGUAAUUCCAGCUCCAAUAGCGUAUAUUAAAGUUGUUGCAGUUAAAAAGCUCGUAGUUGAAUUUCGGGAUCAAUGCGUCGGUCGUGCCUUCGGUACGUACUGGCGUCAUUGAUUCCUCCCUUCUGAAGAACCGUGAUGUCAUUAAUUUGGUGUUACGGGGAAUCAGGACUGUUACCUUGAAAAAAUUAGAGUGUUUAAAGCAGGCUAACGCUUGAAUACAUUAGCAUGGAAUAAUGAAAUAGGACGUUCGAACCUAUUUUGUUGGUUUCUAGGAUCGACGUAAUGAUUAAUAGGGAUAGUUGGGGGCAUUAGUAUUCAAUUGUCAGAGGUGAAAUUCUUGGAUUUAUUGAAGACUAACUACUGCGAAAGCAUUUGCCAAGGAUGUUUUCAUUAAUCAAGAACGAAAGUUAGGGGAUCGAAGACGAUCAGAUACCGUCGUAGUCUUAACCAUAAACUAUGCCGACUAGGGAUCGGAUGAUGUUAAUUUUAUAAUGACUCAUUCGGCGCCUUACGGGAAAC